ACGUAGGGGGCAAGCGUUGCUCGGAAUUACUGGGCGUAAAGGGUGUGUAGGCGGCUGAUUAAGUUAAGGGUGAAAUCCCGAGGCUCAACUUCGGAAGUGUCCUUGAUACUGGUCAGCUUGAGGCUAGUAAAGGAGAGCGGAAUUCCCGGUGGAGAGGUGAAAUGCGUAGAUAUCAGGAGGAACACCGGAGGCGUAGGCGGCUCUCUGGGCUAGUCCUGACGCUGAGGCGCGAAAGCGUGGGGAGCAAACAG
This 251-nucleotide ribosomal RNA is filed under the name uncultured prokaryote. RNAcentral's name for it is "partial 16S rRNA". It matches the Rfam family "Bacterial small subunit ribosomal RNA", at positions 525 to 775 of the family's 1533-position model. The record is from RNAcentral.